UCCGUAGGCGGACUAAUAAGUCAGGGGUGAAAUCCCACAGCUCAACUGUGGAACUGCCUUUGCUACUGUUAGUCUUGAGUUAUAUGGAAGUAGAUAGAAUGUGUAGUGUAGCGGUGAAAUGCUUAGAGAUUACACAGAAUACCGAUUGCGAAGGCAGUCUACUACGUAUAUACUGACGCUAAUGGACGAAAGCGUGGGGAGCGAACAGGAUUAGAUACCCUGGUAGUCC
RNAcentral lists this ribosomal RNA (229 nucleotides) under uncultured bacterium. RNAcentral's name for it is "partial 16S ribosomal RNA". It matches the Rfam family "Bacterial small subunit ribosomal RNA", at positions 568 to 796 of the family's 1533-position model. The record is from RNAcentral.